This 329-nucleotide unclassified non-coding RNA is filed under the name soil metagenome. RNAcentral's name for it is "partial contains 5.8S ribosomal RNA, internal transcribed spacer 2, and large subunit ribosomal RNA". The stretch from base 1 to 120 matches the Rfam family "5.8S ribosomal RNA", at positions 35 to 154 of the family's 154-position model. The record is from RNAcentral.
GAUGAAGAACGUAGCGAAAUGCGAUAAGUAAUGUGAAUUGCAGAAUUCAGUGAAUCAUCGAAUCUUUGAACGCACAUUGCGCCCCUUGGUAUUCCGAGGGGCAUGCCUGCUCGAGCGUCAUUAUAACCCCUCAAGCUCAGCUUGGUGUUGGGGCCUGCUGCACUGGCAGCCCUUAAAAUCAGUGGCGGCGCCAUCUGGCUCUAAGCGUAGUAAUUCUUCUCGCUAUGGAGUCCUGGUGGAUGCUUGCCAUCAACCCCCAAUUUUUCUAUGGUUGACCUCGGAUCAGGUAGGGAUACCCGCUGAACUUAAGCAUAUCAAUAAGCGGAGGA